Molecule: ribosomal RNA, 254 nt
Filed under: uncultured bacterium
Lineage: Bacteria
Description: partial 16S ribosomal RNA
Rfam family: Bacterial small subunit ribosomal RNA
Source: RNAcentral
UACGUAGGGUCCAAGCGUUGUCCGGAUUUAUUGGGCGUAAAGAGCUCGUAGGCGGUUCGGUAAGUCGGAUGUGAAAACUCAGGGCUCAACCCGGAGACGCCAUCCGAUACUGCUGUGACUUGAGUCUGGUAGGGGAACACGGAAUACCUGGUGUAGCGGUGAAAUGCGUAGAGAUUUGGAGGAACACCAGUGGCGAAGGCGACUGUCUGGUCUGUAACUGACACUGAGGCGCGAAAGCGUGGGGAGCAAACAGG